GAAAACACUACUUGCAGUUACCGAUUCACAUCCUGUUGUUCGUUUACUUGUGACGUCAUCGUGGACCAGCCCAUAGAGGUAAUCACGUUCAAAUGUAUGCGUGCCUUUUUUGUAGAUGUAGUUGUGAAACUGCGAGGAAAAUAUUUGCACUCUUGCCCCGGACGUUAGUUUUAUCGUUAUUUACCCGUUUUACCCAAAUCGAUUGGGUAAUAUUUGCAUAUGCAAUCUGAGUAGCCUUUCAAUCGGCGUGCACUUUUGUGUGAGGAAAAAUUUGCGCUAGUGUUCGUGUGUUGAAAUGUCACUUAUCUCUAUAACGUUAUACAAGGUGACAACACGAAAUUGCAGGUGAUGUUCUAUUUUGUCGGAUUCAUUUGUUUUAUCACAUGGUUUAUGUGAGGAAAAAUGUGCUGCAAUCUAAACUAAAGUUAUGUUUUGUGAAAUGUUUUUAGGUAUCAAAAUAAAGUUCUAAAAAUCUGAAAAAAAUCAUAGUGGCUCAGAAAAAGCUGCACUUUUGUUUAAAAAUAUAAAAUUAUUGAUUUUUUCUAAAUUUAAAAACCCAAUUUAACGGUCGACCAGCAAAGCGAGCGAACCCUUCUGUCAAAUCAGCGCAGACGCGUCCCAAGCAACACGACUUGUUUCAAAGCCAGUACCAGCAACAUCAGUGCAAUUUAUUCACUGUUCUAAUUAAGGACAACACAACACAAUUGAUUCUCUUUGAAACGCAAAAAGCGCAAAUUUUAAAUCGUUAUGCAACAUGAGCCAGGGAGAAUGAUAAAAAAAUUAAAAAAAUAUAUUCAGACUCAAACCAUGGACACCAGGAGUAUUAACCACUCACCUUACAUACUACACCAGAAGCUCUGUGAAAGAUUUGCUGCUCAAUGCACCAUAAAAGCUACUGAAGUUACGCGUUACUUCAUUGUACCGUCUUUGCCACAAGUUAGAAAGCUGUCAAAAUGAAAAGACACGCAAGUUCUCCGCAACACAUUUGGAACCUAAUCUGAACAAACAAACUAGAGUAAGAUGUUUCAUGUGUGUUACAUAGCACAUUUGCCACUUGUGAGGAAUAUGUAAGCUCCGCCUCCAUAAAUCGAUGUUAAAUACGAUGUUAUUUGUAAUUCCUAUGAAACCAAGCUGCAACUUAACGAUAUUCGGAAUUUAAAUGCAACUCAACUGACAAGAUGGAAGUUGCGUGCGCUUUUAUUGCAACUCUUCUAGACCAAAGCAUAGAAAACCAUAUUUUGGAUGAUGUUGCAGGUGCUGCUUGGGGUACCUCUUCCUAUAGGUGAAUUCAGAUGACCCCCAAUUGUAGAGGCGCUAAGUGAGAUAAGGUGAAAAUCGUUUGUUUACAUCAAAAAUUCAAUUUUUCGUUUUCAAAAUUAACUCAUAUUUUGCCUUGGUGGUUGCUAUUUUCCAUUGGUAAUGGCAUCUAUUAUCAUCAAUCUCGAUGCCCACGGCGACAGACACCGGAUUGACCAGCUAACAAAAAAUCCGGAAGAUUGCCCGCCGGAGGCAUAGCAAGAGCUCCUCAAAUUAAUCACAUAAGUUGUUCUGCUCGUUUGUUUCUCUACGAUGCGGAAUUCGAUAUGAAAAGGUGAAAAAAGUGCAGUUUGCCUAUGCUGCGCAAUGGCAAAUUUUGGCGGAGCCCCUCUUUUCAUAGGUUUCUAAUUCCUGCCACCAGAUGCGGAGGGAUCGUUAGCUUCCGUUGGAUUUA
Long non-coding RNA from Aedes albopictus (Asian tiger mosquito), 1711 nucleotides. RefSeq lists it as uncharacterized. The transcript is spliced from 3 exons. Lineage: Eukaryota; Metazoa; Arthropoda; Insecta; Diptera; Culicidae. The record is from RefSeq and is a predicted model, not a curated record.